RNAcentral lists this long non-coding RNA (2843 nucleotides) under Homo sapiens (human). RNAcentral describes it as "HSALNT0253887". Lineage: Eukaryota; Metazoa; Chordata; Mammalia; Primates; Hominidae. The record is from RNAcentral.
CUCUAUGGGGCACCAGUAAGGACCGUGUCUCAUUCAUCAUUGUAUCCCUGAUGCCUACAUUACUUUAAUAAAUACAAUAUCAACAUUUUCAUAAAUACAAAUCUAAUAAAUAUAAUAAAAUUUAAAUGUUGAAUGAUUUUCCCCCUGCAUUUUGCUAUGAAAAUGUUGAAUGUACUGAAAAGCUGAAAUAAUUGUUCAGAAAACAACCAUCACCUAGCUCUUCCAGUUAACAUUUGCUUACUUGCUUUAUCGCAUAUGUAUUCAAAUAUUCAUCUCGACUGUUUUUUUUUUUAGAAAACAUCAGUACACCAUCCUUAAACACUUCAGCAUGGAUAUCUGAUGAAUACAGUUUAAAACCACCAUCCACAGCAUUGAGAUAAAAAGGACUGUCCCUCCCACCACAGAAGGAAUGAGCAAUGUGACCUGGGGACUUGUCAAGAUUAUUUUCAUAGACUCAGGAAAGUGCACCACACUGAAGUCAUCAAACCGAAGACACAGGUUGGGCCUCAGGACUUAUCUACCAGGCGAGUCACAGCUCAUGCAGGUUUAUUCUGCACACCCGCUCCUGAAUAACAAGAAGACCACAGACUUGGUGGCAGUAUGAGUAGAUUCCUCGACCCCGGUUGUUCAGCUAGGUUUGAAAGUGAAGAUGGCCCAUGUGGAAGCUUCCCACUCUCUCAUCUAGGUCCCCCUAUAACCAGCAUCGGCAUUUGUAAGAUAGUUGUUCAGAACAAAGGGAGCCCCAGAGUUGACUGUGGCAGCCACAGGCACUGUUGUGUGAAUUAGAAAAGCAGGGGCCCUCUGGGUGUGUUGCUGUCCUCCGGGACCUGGAUGGUCAAGAUGAAGGUGCCUUGAUAUGUUUUUCAGUAUCACUUCCUCUGCCUCUGUGCAGACCCAGCCUCACAGCAGGGCACAGACCUAUGUGAACAGAGCGAGCUGGAUUUCAGCUCCCACUUCCCGCUCUGCUCACUCUGUGUAAAGACAAGUGUGAACAACUGUAGUCAGCAGCCCGACUGGUCUACGCACAGACGACUGUGCACAUGCAAGUGUACAAUCCAAGAAACUGCAGAGUUCAUCUAAAACCAGUGAGCCACAGGAGAGGAGAGCUUGGAGAACAACUUACAUGUACUCUUUCUCUACUUUGUUUUUUGAGGUUUCUUUUUUUCUCUUAGAGACAGGGUCAUACUCUUAGAGGCAGGCUGCAGUGAUAGGAUCAUAGUUCAUUGCAGCCUCGACCUCCUGGGCUCAAGGGAUCCCCCCACCUCUGCCUCUCAAGUAGCUGGGACUACAGGUGUGGACCACCAUGACUGGCUAAGUUCUUCGGUUUUGUUAGAGAAAGGAUCUCUCACUAUGUUAUCCAGACUGGUCUCAAACUCCUGGACUCAAGAAAUCCUCCCGCCUCAGUUUCACAAAGUGCUGGAAUGAGAGGCGUAAACCACUGCACCAGGUUAUUUCUCCCCUUUAUUCUGCAUACGCUCUGUGUAGGUCCAGCAGGCACCAAUAAUACAGUGCUGAGCAGACUCCAUCCCUGCUCUCCUGGAGCUUAAGCUAAUGGAGGAGAAAGGCAUCCGCGAAAUAACUACAUGAUGAAAAUAUAAUUAUAAACCUUGGUCAAUGCUCCUGAGAAAGGAAAUCUCCAUAUAUGCCUGUGACCCAGAAACCUGAUGUAGACCAGCAGUCUCCAAGAAGCAGGGUCUGGGAUCAGAGGAUAAGUAAACACUGGCAAAGCAGAGCUGUGAGAGGCGGAGAAGAGAGGUCUGUGAGAGGCCCCAAAGAAGGCCUGCGCCUGAGGGAGCCUGGCACAGCCAGACCAGAGCAGUCAAAGUGCAGGCCACAGGAAGACGAGGAUCACAGGGGAGGCCAGGGCCAGGCUAGGAAGCCAUUUGGGUCUUAUUAAGACCAAGGAGAAGCCAAGGAAGUGGUUUCAGUGACCGGGUUGAUAAGAUCACAUCUGCAUUUGAAACGUACAGCAGGGCUUGUCCUGCGGAGAAAGGAAUGUUGAUUGAGGAAGGGAAGAUGAGGCUUAAGAGGAGGUUGUGGGAGCAGUCCUGGUGAAAAACGAUGACAGCUGGGAACUUAAAUGAGGGUGAUGGCAGUGAAGAUGAAAAGAAGUGGCCAGCCUUGAGAGAAACUUCGGAGGGGAGGGAACCUGCAGUUGUUGGCAUGGAGAGCUGGAGGCAGGCCCCAGAGCAUCAUGGAGAUCAUCUGAUGACAGAGCAGCUGCACAGAAGCAUUGCAGACUCUGCAGAGGAUGCAACCAACAGCAUCAUGACCACUGUGACAAAACAAGACUAAUAGUUCUCAUAAGAUGCUUCUGAACUGGGAACACCAGUUUCCCAUCCCAGGACAAGAGAACAAAUCCCAUAAGCCGUGAGGAUCAGCCUUAAAGAGAUAAAUAGUUUUUUCCUUAUGGCAUUGUAUAGUCUCUUCCACUUUGCCUGUUCUGUUCAUCCAAGUGCAGUGAGAAGUACUAGCAGCAGCACAGAUGCCACGACACCAACAAGAAAUCUAGAGCAAUGGGCUUGUUCAUCACCAAGUAUACCAGUGAGUCGAGACUGGCCUGUGUUCCAUCCAGGGCACGGGAGGUGGUGUUCACACUUCUGCCAGAAUGAGGAAAUUGCAGCUCAGAGAGACGAAGGAAAUUGGGAGACAGGGGUCUUACCCUAUGAGUGCCGCAGCCUUCCAACACCAGACUUCAGCACCAAAACAGGGCCCGGUGUGGCCAGGCAAGGCAGAGCAAAAACCGGGCUCCUGACAAACACUCACACAAACUGGAGGAGGGAUUUGGAGGGGCAGUUAAGACCCAAACUCCAAUUUCAGCCAGUCUGUAUCACAGUUUUACA